This 440-nucleotide ribosomal RNA is filed under the name uncultured Anaerolineae bacterium. RNAcentral's name for it is "partial 16S ribosomal RNA". It matches the Rfam family "Bacterial small subunit ribosomal RNA", at positions 338 to 794 of the family's 1533-position model. The record is from RNAcentral. Lineage: Bacteria; Bacillati; Chloroflexota; Anaerolineae.
CCUACGGGAGGCAGCAGUGAGGAAUAUUGCGCAAUGGGCGAAAGCCUGACGCAGCAACGCCGCGUGGGCGAAGAAGGCCUUCGGGUCGUAAAGCCCUUUUCUGGGAGACGAGGAAGGACGGUAUCCCAGGAAUAAGCCUCGGCUAACUACGUGCCAGCAGCCGCGGUAAAACGUAGGAGGCGAGCGUUAUCCGGAUUUACUGGGCGUAAAGCGCGUGCAGGUGGCCGUGUAAGUCGGAUGUGAAAUCUCUCGGCUCAACCGGGAGGGGUCGUCCGAAACUGCACGGCUUGAGGGCGGGAGAGGGAAGUGGAAUUCCCGGUGUAGUGGUGGAAUACGUAGAUAUCGGGAGGAACACCAGUGGCGAAGGCGGCUUCCUGGCCCGCACCUGACACUCAGACGCGAAAGCGUGGGGAGCGAACGGGAUUAGACACCCCUGUAGU